Molecule: transfer RNA, 73 nt
Filed under: Camelus dromedarius (Arabian camel)
Lineage: Eukaryota; Metazoa; Chordata; Mammalia; Artiodactyla; Camelidae
Also listed under: 1 other name
Rfam family: tRNA
About the family: Transfer RNA (tRNA) molecules are approximately 80 nucleotides in length. Their secondary structure includes four short double-helical elements and three loops (D, anti-codon, and T loops).
Source: Rfam by way of RNAcentral
GAAGGUAUAGCUCAAGUGGUAGGGCGCACGCUUAGCAUGCACAAGGUCCUGGGUUCAAUCCCCAGUACCUCCA